CCUACGGUGGGCAGCAGUGGGGAAUAUUGCACAAUGGGCGAAACUCUGAUGCAGCGAUGCCGCGUGAGUGAAGACGUCCUUCGUUAUGUAAAGCUCUAUCAGUAGGGAAGUAAAUGACGGUACCUGUGUCAGUAGCCCCGGCGAACUCCGUGCCAGCAGCCGCUGCAAUACGGCGGGGGCCGCUGUUAACCGGAUUUACUGGGUGUAAAGGGGGCGUAGGCGGCAGUGCAAGUCAGGAGUUAAAGGGGGGGGCUCAACCCCCGGACUGCUGUGGAGACUGGACGGCUGGAGUGCAGGAGAGGUAAGUGGAAUGCCUGGUGUAGCGGUGAAAUGCGUAGGUAUUAGGAGGAACACCAGUGGCGAAGGCGGCUUACCGGACUAUAACUGACGCUGAGGCACGAAAGCGUGGGGAGCAAACAGGAUUAGAUACCCUGGUAGUC
This 440-nucleotide ribosomal RNA is filed under the name uncultured bacterium. RNAcentral describes it as "partial 16S ribosomal RNA". It matches the Rfam family "Bacterial small subunit ribosomal RNA", at positions 338 to 795 of the family's 1533-position model. The record is from RNAcentral.